GUCAGCAACUGAGCAGUCGCAAGAUGAUUAAGAAGAGAUGGAGAUGGAAUGAAAUGUGGGGAGGUUUUCAGAGGCUGGGAGAGCUGCAGGUUGAGCAUGUAUGGCCAGAGCUGGGCAGCAGACACUGGGAGACCCUGACUGUGCAGGGAGAGGUAAGUCAACAGGCCAGGGUACUGACUACAGGCAAUUCUAGAGGAUGGAGCUUUUCCGUGGGUUGGGUGAUGGCAAAGUAAGAAUGUAGUAAAGGACAGGUUAGUUUUAAGAAAGAAAAAAAUUCA
RNAcentral lists this long non-coding RNA (278 nucleotides) under Ictidomys tridecemlineatus (thirteen-lined ground squirrel). RNAcentral describes it as "lncRNA (ENSSTOG00000029963.1)". Lineage: Eukaryota; Metazoa; Chordata; Mammalia; Rodentia; Sciuridae. The record is from RNAcentral.